This 639-nucleotide ribosomal RNA is filed under the name Leptolyngbya boryana ampf9. RNAcentral's name for it is "bacterial SSU rRNA". It matches the Rfam family "Bacterial small subunit ribosomal RNA", at positions 111 to 784 of the family's 1533-position model. Lineage: Bacteria; Bacillati; Cyanobacteriota; Cyanophyceae; Leptolyngbyales; Leptolyngbyaceae. The record is from RNAcentral.
UAACGCGUGAGAACAUGCCUUUAGAUUGGGGACAACAGUUGGAAACGACUGCUAAUACCGAAUGUGCCUUAGGGUGAAAGAUUUAUUGUCUAGAGAUUGGCUCGCGUCAGAUUAGCUAGUUGGAGUGGUAACGGCACACCAAGGCGACGAUCUGUACUUGGUCUGAGAGGAUGACCAGGCACACUGGAACUGAGACACGGUCCAGACUCCUACGGGAGGCAGCAGUGGGGAAUUUUCCGCAAUGGGCGAAAGCCUGACGGAGCAAUACCGCGUGAGGGAGGACGGCUUUUGGGUUGUAAACCUCUUUUAUCAGGGAAGAAUCGAUGACGGUACCUGAUGAAUCAGCAUCGGCUAACUCCGUGCCAGCAGCCGCGGUAAUACGGAGGAUGCAAGCGUUAUCCGGAAUUAUUGGGCGUAAAGCGUCCGUAGGUGGUUUAUCAAGUCUGCUGUCAAAGCGUGCGGCUUAACCGCAUAAGGGCAGUGGAAACUGAUGAACUAGAGUGCGAUAGGGGUAACAGGAAUUCCCAGUGUAGCGGUGAAAUGCGUAGAUAUUGGGAAGAACACCAGCGGCGAAAGCGUGUUACUGGGUCUGCACUGACACUGAGGGACGAAAGCUAGGGGAGCGAAAGGGAUUAGAUA